RNAcentral lists this ribosomal RNA (768 nucleotides) under uncultured bacterium. RNAcentral describes it as "bacterial SSU rRNA". It matches the Rfam family "Bacterial small subunit ribosomal RNA", at positions 56 to 832 of the family's 1533-position model. The record is from RNAcentral.
UGCAAGUCGAACGAGUUUUGAUCUGUAGUAAUACAGGUCAAGUUAAGUGGCGCACGGGUGCGUAACACGUGAGUAAUCUGCCGGGAAGAGGGGGAUAGCUCGCCGAAAGGCGAAUUAAUACCGCAUAUGGCCAGGGAGGACAUCCUUCCGACGCCAAAGUCGCAAGACGCUUCCUGAUGAGCUCGCGGCCUAUCAGCUUGUUGGUGAGGUAACGGCUCACCAAGGCUUUGACGGGUAGCUGGUCUGAGAGGACGACCAGCCACACUGGAACUGAGACACGGUCCAGACACCUACGGGUGGCAGCAGUCGAGAAUUUUUCACAAUGGGGGAAACCCUGAUGGAGCGACGCCGCGUGGAGGAUGAAGGCCUUUUGGUCGUAAACUCCUGUCAUGCGAGAACAAGAAAGUGAUAGUAUCGCAAGAGGAAGAGACGGCUAACUCUGUGCCAGCAGCCGCGGUAAUACAGAGGUCUCAAGCGUUGUUCGGAUUCAUUGGGCGUAAAGGGUGCGUAGGUGGCAUGGUAAGUUGAAGGUGAAAUCUCGGGGCUUAACUCCGAAACUGCCUUCAAUACUGCUGUGCUCGAGGACUGUAGAGGAGAAUGGAAUUCACGGUGUAGCAGUGAAAUGCGUAGAUAUCGUGAGGAAGACCAGUGGCGAAGGCGAUUCUCUGGGCAGUUCCUGACACUGAGGCACGAAGGCCAGGGGAGCAAACGGGAUUAGAUACCCCGGUAGUCCUGGCAGUAACGGUGCACGUUUGGUGUGGAGGAUUC